This 512-nucleotide ribosomal RNA is filed under the name uncultured bacterium. RNAcentral's name for it is "partial 16S ribosomal RNA". It matches the Rfam family "Bacterial small subunit ribosomal RNA", at positions 29 to 523 of the family's 1533-position model. The record is from RNAcentral.
AACGAACGCUGGCGGCGUGCCUAAUACAUGCAAGUCGAGCGAAUGGAAGGGAGCUUGCUCCCUGAAGUUAGCGGCGGACGGGUGAGUAACACGUGGGCAACCUGCCUGUAAGACUGGGAUAACUUCGGGAAACCGGAGCUAAUACCGGAUACGUUCUUUCCUCGCAUGAGGAAAGAUGGAAAGAUGGUUUCGGCUAUCACUUACAGAUGGGCCCGCGGCGCAUUAGCUAGUUGGUGGGGUAACGGCCCACCAAGGCGACGAUGCGUAGCCGACCUGAGAGGGUGAUCGGCCACCCUGGGACUGAGACACGGCCCAGACUCCUACGGGAGGCAGCAGUAGGGAAUCUUCCGCAAUGGACGAAAGUCUGACGGAGCAACGCCGCGUGAGCGAAGAAGGCCUUCGGGUCGUAAAGCUCUGUUGUCAGGGAAGAACAAGUGCCAGAGUAACUGCUGGCGCCUUGACGGUACCUGACCAGAGAGCCACGGCUAACUACGUGCCAGCCGCCGCAGUAA